Molecule: ribosomal RNA, 150 nt
Filed under: uncultured soil bacterium
Lineage: Bacteria
Description: partial 16S ribosomal RNA
Source: RNAcentral
GCCCUUCGGCUCCGCCUCCGUGUUACCGCGGCUGCUGGCUCCCGUAUUACCGCGGCUGCUGGCUCCCGUAUUACCGCGGCUGCUGGGUCCCGUAUUACCUCAGCCGCUGGUGCUCGAUUUCCCUCUGCUGCCUUGCCUAGGAUUCCCUAC